GUGGGGAAUAUUGCGCAAUGGGGGGAACCCUGACGCAGCCAUGCCGCGUGAAUGAAGAAGGCCUUCGGGUUGUAAAGUUCUUUCGGUAUUGAGGAAGGUUGAUGUGUUAAUAGUACAUCAAAUUGACGUUAAAUACAGAAGAAGCACCGGCUAACUCCGUGCCAGCAGCCGCGGUAAUACGGAGGGUGCGAGCGUUAAUCGGAAUAACUGGGCGUAAAGGGCACGCAGGCGGUUAUUUAAGUGAGGUGUGAAAGCCCCGGGCUUAACCUGGGAAUUGCAUUUCAGACUGGGUAACUAGAGUACUUUAGGGAGGGGUAGAAUUCCACGUGUAGCGGUGAAAUGCGUAGAGAUGUGGAGGAAUACCGAAGGCGAAGGCAGCCCCUUGGGAAUGUACUGACGCUCAUGUGCGAAAGCGUGGGGAGCAAACAGGAUUAGAAACCCGAGUAGUCC
This 450-nucleotide ribosomal RNA is filed under the name uncultured bacterium. RNAcentral's name for it is "bacterial SSU rRNA". It matches the Rfam family "Bacterial small subunit ribosomal RNA", at positions 354 to 796 of the family's 1533-position model. The record is from RNAcentral.